Molecule: ribosomal RNA, 500 nt
Filed under: uncultured bacterium
Lineage: Bacteria
Description: partial 16S ribosomal RNA
Rfam family: Bacterial small subunit ribosomal RNA
Source: RNAcentral
AUUGAACGCUGGCGGAAUGCUUUACACAUGCAAGUCGAACGGCAGCACGGACUUCGGUCUGGUGGCGAGUGGCGAACGGGUGAGUAAUACAUCGGAACGUGCCCAGUCGUGGGGGAUAACGUAGCGAAAGUUACGCUAAUACCGCAUACGAUCGAUGGAUGAAAGCGGGGGAUCGCAAGACCUCGCGCGAUUGGAGCGGCCGAUGUCAGAUUAGGUAGUUGGUGGGGUAAAGGCCUACCAAGCCGACGAUCUGUAGCUGGUCUGAGAGGACGACCAGCCACACUGGGACUGAGACACGGCCCAGACUCCUACGGGGGGCAGCAGUGGGGAAUUUUGGACAAUGGGCGCAAGCCUGAUCCAGCCAUUCCGCGUGCAGGAUGAAGGCCUUCGGGUUGUAAACUGCUUUUGUACGGAACGAAAAGGCUCUGGUUAAUACCUGGGGCUCAUGACGGUACCGUAAGAAUAAGCACCGGCUAACUACGUGCCAGCAGCCGCGGUAA